GGGAGCUUAAGACCAAAAACAGAGUAAAGAAACACAAUGAAAAUGGAAGCGAGCGAGUUAGUUAUAUGAUACAUUUUCAAACCCUAUUGAAGAAUGAUAGAAGACUGCCUUGUUUAGCGUCCUUGCUUCCUCCCAUUUUGUUCCCUGUUUUGCCUCCUGGUUUGGAUGGAGCUGUCUUUCCUAAAGCAGACUUCUUAACUGCAGCUGCCCUGUCAACACUAUCUGUAAUUGCAUUAGUUUCAGCUUUCUUCAUUGCCCUAUUGUCAGCUUUCUUCAUUGCGCUAUUGUCAGCUUUCUUUGUUUCUGUCUCUUCCCCCUCCCAUACUACCUCAGUUACUUCUCUACCACGCUCAUCAAUGCAGGUCUUCAAUACUUUUCUCCUUUUGGGUGAAUUUGGAGCAGCAUUAGCAACUAUAUCUGCUUUAACAUCAUCGCCAUCAAUACAGUUCUGGAUAUUCUCUUUAGAGGAGUCCUUAGAGUUCAUACUCUUGCG
This 493-nucleotide unclassified non-coding RNA is filed under the name Hevea brasiliensis (rubber tree). The record is from RNAcentral. Lineage: Eukaryota; Viridiplantae; Streptophyta; Magnoliopsida; Malpighiales; Euphorbiaceae.